CCUACGGGUGGCAGCAGUGAGGAAUAUUGGUCAAUGGGCGGAAGCCUGAACCAGCCAUGCCGCGUGCAUGAAGAAGGCCCUACGGGUCGUAAACCGCUUUUGUACGGGGGUAACACCCUACACUAGUAGAGGUCUGCAGGUACCGUACGAAUAAGGGCCGGCUAAUUCCGUGCCAGCAGCCGCGGUAAUACGGAAGGGCCGAGCGUUAUCCGGAUUUAUUGGGCUUAAAGGGAGCGUCGGGGGGCGGUUAAGUUAGCUGGGAAAUCCCGGGGCUCAACUGGGGAAUGGCAGUUGAUACUGGACGGCUUGAGUGCAGAACGGGCAGGCGGAAUGCGUGGUGUAGCGGUGAAAUGCAUAGAGAUCACGAGGAACCCCGAUUGCGAAGGCAGCCUGCCGGGGUGCGACUGACGCUGAGGCUCGAAGGUGUGGGGAGCAAACAGGAUUAGAUACCCCUGUAGUC
This 460-nucleotide ribosomal RNA is filed under the name uncultured bacterium. RNAcentral's name for it is "partial 16S ribosomal RNA". It matches the Rfam family "Bacterial small subunit ribosomal RNA", at positions 338 to 795 of the family's 1533-position model. The record is from RNAcentral.